This 65-nucleotide transfer RNA is filed under the name Chapuisia ellenbergeri. RNAcentral describes it as "tRNA-Asn". The record is from RNAcentral. Lineage: Eukaryota; Metazoa; Arthropoda; Insecta; Coleoptera; Chrysomelidae.
UUAAUUGAAACCAAAAUAGAGGUUUAUCACUGUUAAUGAUAUAAAUGUGGAAUUCACCAAUUAAA